UUACGACCAUAACACGUUGAAACACUGGUAUCCAUACGAUCACCGAAGUUAAGCAACGUCGAGCCUGGUCAGUACUUAGAUGUAUGGCCGCUUG
Non-coding RNA from Acanthosepion pharaonis, 94 nucleotides. NCBI's taxonomy places the organism in Eukaryota, Metazoa, Mollusca, Cephalopoda, Sepiida, Sepiidae. The record is from the annotation of a GenBank genome assembly.